CAUGCGCUAAAACCCAAUCCCAAGUCGCAUAUUCAAGAGAACUGGAGAAUCUUGGACUUCUUCUCCCACCACCCAGAAAGUUUGAACAUGUUCACCUUCCUCUUGGAUGACAUUGGUAUUCCACAAGAUUACAGGCACAUGGAUGGCUCUGGUGUUAACACUUACACAUUGAUCAAUAAGGCUGGGAAGGCACAUUAUGUAAAAUUUCACUGGAAACCUACCUGUGGAGUGAAGUCCUUGUUAGAGGAUGAAGCCAUUAAGAUCGGGGGAGCUAAUCACAGCCACGCCACCCAAGAUCUAUAUGAUUCAAUUGCAGCUGGAAAUUAUCCUGAGUGGAAACUUUUUAUUCAGAUCAUAGACCCUGAUC
This 367-nucleotide long non-coding RNA is filed under the name Daucus carota (carrot). RNAcentral describes it as "long non-coding RNA (DCAR_LNC001815)". The record is from RNAcentral. Lineage: Eukaryota; Viridiplantae; Streptophyta; Magnoliopsida; Apiales; Apiaceae.